AUAAAAGAUCUGUAGCAGGUCCGGAGACGUAGGCAACAUUGGCCGAACUCCGUUAACAAUUUUGCGUGUGUUUUCCCGCUCCCAUAAAUUCUGGUUUUCCGCAAAAUUUGACCGCAUAUUUCCUAACACACCUAUCAUCAGAUGCACUCAGGCAAACUGAUCUAAAUUAUCAUAAAAAUAAUAUCAAUCAGUUAUGUAUUAGAGAAAAAAAUACGUACUUGUCUCCUGUGUCUACC
Molecule: long non-coding RNA, 236 nt
Filed under: Brassica napus (rape)
Lineage: Eukaryota; Viridiplantae; Streptophyta; Magnoliopsida; Brassicales; Brassicaceae
Description: long non-coding RNA (BNAP_LNC018557)
Source: RNAcentral